Molecule: long non-coding RNA, 719 nt
Organism: Aquila chrysaetos chrysaetos
Lineage: Eukaryota; Metazoa; Chordata; Aves; Accipitriformes; Accipitridae
Exons: 5
Source: RefSeq, a predicted model, not a curated record
AAAAAGGAACUACUGAAUUGCUUCAUAUUUAAGCAGACGUUCUGGAAGGUUGAGAAUACAUGUUUUAUAUUUGCAAGUUUUGACAACCUGGGAAAAGGAGGACAAAGUGGGCUAGAGAUGCUGCUUCAGAUCUGGUCGCCAACACAAUCUCAUUGCGAAGUUUCUGACUAAUUUCAUUUUCCAGUCACCAAAUUUACAGGUUGUACGCGGUGAAACAAAGUCACUGCAAAGAAUAGAGGAAAGUUUGCAGAAACUGGAGGUGCAGGUAAUGCAGAGGAAAAUGAGCAAAUAGCCUCUGGCACCUUCAGUCUCAGCUAUUUGGAUCCUAAGAUUUCUGUAGCCUGGCAUAAAACAGGGGGUUCCAGUGGGAAAAAUCUGCAGGAAAAGCCAGCGAGUGUUUGGAAGCAGAGGACACUUCUGCUAGUCCGAGCCUUAGAAGGAACAGCACUGGGACUUAAAGGGCCCCCAAAUAAAGAUGCAAAGGUGACUGGUUUGUCUUACUCCACUCCUUCAGCCAUUCAUCUCCUCGUUAUCUCCAUGAAGCAGAACCCUAUCCCCAGUUCCAGGUGGCCCAACUGAAUGCAGAACCAAUUACAAAUGUCAGUGAAUGUGCUUCAGCAGUGGCCAUAUCCCCUCCCAUGAACAUGAGGCAGGAGCGGGUUAAUCUGGAAACACAUCUCACAAGCUCAAUAAUGUGUGAAAACUGAGAUUUAAAUCUG